CACCUGGAAAAAGAAAGUAAAGAGCUUCUCUACGGGAGCUGUAAGGGAUAAUCCCUUCUGUGGGUCAGUGUGUGGGAAAGGCAGCCUCGUGCAUGCGGUCGUCCCACCCCUGCUUGGCCAUCCAUAGGUAAAUGUUUGAGGCUUUGGUCAGUCUGAGAAGCAUCUCGAGAAACUGGAAUCCUGAAGAAGUAUUAUUUUUCCAUGGAUUGACACAGAUGAGCAAGGAAAACCUGCCAGCACCCCGAAGUCUUCGCCGAAGGAGGCAGAAUACAGAUGCUUAGUAGCUUCCUAUAUUCAAAAUAAACUCAGUGUAAGUGCUCUCAA
Mustela erminea (ermine) is the source of this 324-nucleotide long non-coding RNA. RefSeq lists it as uncharacterized. Lineage: Eukaryota; Metazoa; Chordata; Mammalia; Carnivora; Mustelidae. The transcript is spliced from 2 exons. The record is from RefSeq and is a predicted model, not a curated record.